This 482-nucleotide ribosomal RNA is filed under the name uncultured bacterium. RNAcentral describes it as "bacterial SSU rRNA". It matches the Rfam family "Bacterial small subunit ribosomal RNA", at positions 28 to 498 of the family's 1533-position model. The record is from RNAcentral.
GAUGAACGCUAGCUACAGGCUUAACACAUGCAAGUCGAGGGGCAGCAUGGUCUUAGCUUGCUAAGGCCGAUGGCGACCGGCGCACGGGUGAGUAACACGUAUCCAACCUGCCGUCUACUCUUGGACAGCCUUCUGAAAGGAAGAUUAAUACAAGAUGGCAUCAUGAGUCCGCAUGUUCACAUGAUUAAAGGUAUUCCGGUAGACGAUGGGGAUGCGUUCCAUUAGAUAGUAGGCGGGGUAACGGCCCACCUAGUCUUCGAUGGAUAGGGGUUCUGAGAGGAAGGUCCCCCACAUUGGAACUGAGACACGGUCCAAACUCCUACGGGAGGCAGCAGUGAGGAAUAUUGGUCAAUGGGCGAGAGCCUGAACCAGCCAAGUAGCGUGAAGGAUGACUGCCCUAUGGGUUGUAAAACUUCUUUUAUAAAGGAAUAAAGUCGGGUAUGGAUACCCGUUUGCAUGUACUUUAUGAAUAAGGAUCGGCU